Molecule: ribosomal RNA, 498 nt
Filed under: uncultured bacterium
Lineage: Bacteria
Description: partial 16S ribosomal RNA
Rfam family: Bacterial small subunit ribosomal RNA
Source: RNAcentral
GAUGAACGCUGGCGGCGUGCCUAAUACAUGCAAGUCGAGCGAACUUUUGGGAGCUUGCUCCCAAAAGUUAGCGGCGGACGGGUGAGUAACACGUGGGUAACCUGCCUGUAAGACUGGGAUAACUUCGGGAAACCGGAGCUAAUACCGGAUAACAUUGCAGACUACAUGGUCUUCAAUUAAAAGGUGGCUUUUAGCUACCACUUACAGAUGGACCCGCGGCGCAUGAGCUAGUUGGUGAGGUAACGGCGCACCAAGGCGACGUUGCGUAGCCGACCGGAGAGGGCGGGCGGCCGCACUGGGACGGUGACACGCCCCAGACGCCUACAGGAGGCGGCAGGAGGGCAUCGGCCGGAAGGGGCGGGGGUCUUUCGGAACUGGGCGGCGUGAGCGAGGAAGGCCGUCGGGUCGGGAAGCACGGUUGUUGGGGAAGAACAAGUAUCGUUCUGAGAGGGCGGUACCUUGACGGUACCGGGCCAGGAAGCCACGGCUAACUACGUG